This 301-nucleotide ribosomal RNA is filed under the name uncultured bacterium. RNAcentral's name for it is "partial 16S ribosomal RNA". It matches the Rfam family "Bacterial small subunit ribosomal RNA", at positions 509 to 807 of the family's 1533-position model. The record is from RNAcentral.
CAGUCGCCGCGGUAAUACGAAGGGGGCUAGCGUUGUUCGGAAUCACUGGGCGUAAAGCGCACGUAGGCGGAUUUUUAAGUCAGGGGUGAAAUCCCGAGGCUCAACCUCGGAACUGCCUUUGAUACUGGAGAUCUUGAGUUCGGAAGAGGUUGGUGGAACAGCUAGUGUAGAGGUGAAAUUCGUAGAUAUUAGCUAGAACACCAGUGGCGAAGGCGGCCAACUGGUCCGACACUGACGCUGAGGUGCGAAAGCGUGGGGAGCAAACAGGAUUAGAUACCCCGGUAGUCCCUGUCUCUUAUAC